RNAcentral lists this long non-coding RNA (361 nucleotides) under Rosa chinensis. RNAcentral describes it as "sRNA RchiOBHm_Chr6g0248031". The record is from RNAcentral. Lineage: Eukaryota; Viridiplantae; Streptophyta; Magnoliopsida; Rosales; Rosaceae.
GAUUGAUGAAGUUGCUGGGUAUGGUUUCUGGAGUGAAGAAGCGUUUCUCAUAAAGCCUUUCUUUUCCUCAUAUUCAGCCCAGCCUCAGCGUGUUCUCUCCGUGCAAAAUUCAAGUUCUUCUUACUCGACUCCAAUCCACUUCUUAGUCUUUCUUGCCAGCAGACUGCCGACGCCGCUUCGUUCGGUCCAAAGUUUGAUGACAAUCACACUUUCUACUGGAUACAUCAGCUGAAAUGGAUGAUUUUGACUUAGAAAUGGAGGAGAUGGAAUUAACUGCAGCAGCGGCUGGUUACCAUUAUUAUAGCAGUAUUACCAAGCAACCUUGUCAUAGUUUGUCACCAAGUAAAGGAUGUGGAUUUAU